This 446-nucleotide RNase MRP RNA is filed under the name Dactylellina haptotyla CBS 200.50. RNAcentral's name for it is "RNase MRP". It matches the Rfam family "RNase MRP". Rfam says of the family: RNase MRP is an enzymatically active ribonucleoprotein with two distinct roles in eukaryotes. The record is from Rfam by way of RNAcentral. Lineage: Eukaryota; Fungi; Ascomycota; Orbiliomycetes; Orbiliales; Orbiliaceae.
UCCUCGCUCAAACAAUCGCUAUCGAAGCUACAUACGGACCGGAAGGAGGACGUCCAAUCCCCCUUCCGUUCACAUUAUACAGAAUGCUUUGGGAGAAAGUCCCCGGACGUAUCGAGGAAAGGAAAAGUCAGAAAAACUUUCUCUUGUCUUCGCAGUUGAAAAACACCGACAUAGAAGCUUCUUUCCAUUCGGUUCAUCUUGCAGCAUUAUAAAACAAUCCACCCGUCCUUCUUGACUCUAUACUCUCUUUCCUUACGCGUCUCUCGCCGAAAGGUUUUGAUAUUGCAGACCGUGGAGGAGAGUGAGUUUUGAGGGGUGGGAAUUGGGGCUCACGCCCUGGUGCUGUUUAUAAUAUUCGUCAGAGAUUGGAUAGUUAUGCGAUUGCCCUGUACUCUCUCUUCUGGAGGGUAUGGGGUGACUCGAUGGGGCUUAUUCUUGAGGCGAGG